This 254-nucleotide ribosomal RNA is filed under the name uncultured bacterium. Its description in RNAcentral is "partial 16S ribosomal RNA". It matches the Rfam family "Bacterial small subunit ribosomal RNA", at positions 524 to 776 of the family's 1533-position model. The record is from RNAcentral.
UACGGGGGGGGCAAGCGUUGUUCGGAAUUACUGGGCGUAAAGGGCUCGUAGGCGGCCAACUAAGUCAGACGUGAAAUCCCUCGGCUUAACCGGGGAACUGCGUCUGAUACUGGAUGGCUUGAGAUUGGGAGAGGGAUGCGGAAUUCCAGGUGUAGCGGUGAAAUGCGUAGAUAUCUGGAGGAACACCGGUGGCGAAGGCGGCAUCCUGGACCAAUUCUGACGCUGAGUGAGCGAAAGCCAGGGGAGCAAACGGG